Molecule: ribosomal RNA, 434 nt
Filed under: uncultured bacterium
Lineage: Bacteria
Description: partial 16S ribosomal RNA
Rfam family: Bacterial small subunit ribosomal RNA
Source: RNAcentral
GAACGAACGCUGGCGGCACGCCUAACACAUGCAAGUCGAACGAGACCUUCGGGUCUAGUGGCGCACGGGUGCGUAACGCGUGGGAACCUGCCCUUAGGUUCGGAAUAACUCCCCGAAAGGGGUGCUAAUACCGGAUAAUGUCUUCGGACCAAAGAUUUAUCGCCUUUGGAUGGGCCCGCGUUGGAUUAGCUAGUUGGUAGGGUAAAAGCCUACCAAGGCGACGAUCCAUAGCUGGUCUGAGAGGAUGAUCAGCCACACUGGGACUGAGACACGGCCCAGACUCCUACGGGAGGCAGCAGUGGGGAAUAUUGGACAAUGGGCGAAAGCCUGAUCCAGCAAUGCCGCGUGAGUGAUGAAGGCCUUAGGGUUGUAAAGCUCUUUUACCCGGGAUGAUAAUGACAGUACCGGGAGAAUAAGCUCCGGCUAACUCCGUG